UACGGAGGGUGCGAGCGUUGUCCGGAUUUAUUGGGUUUAAAGGGUGCGUAGGCGGUUUGAUAAGUCUGGGGUGAAAGCCCGUUGCUCAACAACGGAACUGCCCUGGAUACUGUCAGACUUGAGGACAGACGAGGUUGGCGGAAUAGAGGGUGUAGCGGUGAAAUGCAUAGAUACCCUCUAGAACCCCGAUUGCGAAGGCAGCUGACUAGGCUGUAACUGACGCUGAGGCACGAAAGCGUGGGGAGCGAACAGG
RNAcentral lists this ribosomal RNA (253 nucleotides) under uncultured bacterium. RNAcentral describes it as "partial 16S ribosomal RNA". It matches the Rfam family "Bacterial small subunit ribosomal RNA", at positions 524 to 776 of the family's 1533-position model. The record is from RNAcentral.